GUAGUCCACGCCGUAAACGAUGGAUGCUAGCCGUCGGGGGGUUGCCCUCCGGUGGCGUAGCUAACGCGUUAAGCAUCCCGCCUGGGGAGUACGGUCGCAAGAUUAAAACUCAAAGAAAUUGACGGGGACCCGCACAAGCGGUGGAACAUGUGGUUUAAUUCGAGGCAACGCGAAGAACCUUACCAGGCCUUGACAUGCCCUCUAUGAGACCCAGAAAUGGGUUUCUUCACUUCGGGUGGGAGGAGCACAGGUGCUGCAUGGCUGUCGUCAGCUCGUGUCGUGAGAUGUUGGGUUAAGUCCCGCAACGAGCGCAACCCUCAUCCUCUGUUGCUAACAGGUUAUGCUGAGAACUCUGAGGAAACUGCCGGUGAUAAGCCGGA
RNAcentral lists this ribosomal RNA (380 nucleotides) under uncultured bacterium. RNAcentral describes it as "bacterial SSU rRNA". It matches the Rfam family "Bacterial small subunit ribosomal RNA", at positions 790 to 1167 of the family's 1533-position model. The record is from RNAcentral.